GACGAACGCUGGCGGCGUGCUUAACACAUGCAAGUCGAACGGAAAGGCCCCCAUCUUGGUGGGGGUGCUCGAGUGGCGAACGGGUGAGUAACACGUGGGUGAUCUGCCCUGUACUUCGGGAUAAGCUUGGGAAACUGGGUCUAAUACCGGAUAGGACCAUGGUUUAGUGUCUCAUGGUGGAAAGAUUAUUGUUUUGGUGCAGGAUGAGCUCGCGGCCUAUCAGCUUGUUGGUGGGGUAAUGGCCUACCAAGGCGUCGACGGGUAGCCGGCCUGAGAGGGUGGACGGCCACAUUGGGACUGAGAUACGGCCCAGACUCCUACGGGAGGCAGCAGUGGGGAAUAUUGCACAAUGGGCGCAAGCCUGAUGCAGCGACGCCGCGUGGGGGAUGACGGCCUUCGGGUGGUAAACUCCUUUCGUUAGGGACGAAGCCGCACUUUUUUUGGGUGUGGUGACGGUACCUUUGUUAAGAAGCACCGGAUAACUACGUG
This 489-nucleotide ribosomal RNA is filed under the name uncultured bacterium. Its description in RNAcentral is "partial 16S ribosomal RNA". It matches the Rfam family "Bacterial small subunit ribosomal RNA", at positions 28 to 507 of the family's 1533-position model. The record is from RNAcentral.